CCCACUCCUGUAACCCUCUCUCAUGAUCCCGCCGUCUGUUUUUUCCUGGCCCUUCUCUCCCGUCGUAUGUUUAGUUCUUCCGGUAGCCUUUCUCAGUCUCUCUUUUCUCCUCCCUCGUGCAGUGGACGGAAUCAUCCUUGUCAUCUCUGGUCGUCUCUACAUCUCUGCAUCUCUGCAUCUCUAUUCUCCAAAUUCCACUCCAGGUUCGAUUUUGCAUCUUAAUUUGGCUAUUUAUAUGUAAGAUUUUGGCUAUUUCCUAAAUAAGUUCAGUUAUUGUUUUUUCAUUUUAAGUUAUGUUACUGCUUUAAUCGAUCUCCGCAAGAACAAAGUUUUACUGUACUUAGAAUUGCAAGAUGGUGUUGAUUUAGAUUCAUUGUGGAAGGGAAUUUAGAGGUUAAAAAAGGAUGAGGAUAUGGAUUUUGGGAAGCCUAGGAUGGGGAUGCAUAUUUAUAUAUCCUGUCGAAUUGGAGAGAAAGAAAAAGGUCUAGAGAGAGUUCGAUUAGAGAGGAUACGAAAAGGGAGAUCGGGGUUACUGAAGAACAUGUGGGUUUAUGAUUCCAAAUCCUAUUGACCUGCAGCUUUUAAGGCUCUGGUCAUUAUUCCCAGAACUUGUUUCCAUGGUUAUUUCUAUGAAUGCUGUUAGGGAAACCUAGUUUUAUAUGCAAAUGUCUCUGCAAGCUUUUCUAUGCAAAUACUUAUUUGAUACAAUAACUAGUUUUACAUGCAGAGACCUAAACCCUAGUUUGGUAUAAAAGCUGAAACGCAUGUUUUGUAUGAUAUGGAUUGAUCAAGUGGAGUCGAUUUGUCCAUUAUAUAUUAGUCAGGGCCAUUUUUAUGCAGAUACUUGCUUUGAUCUAUUAUAUGUAGAAGUUGUUGGUCGAAUGCAAAAGACUGAUAUGCUUAUUAAGUACCUUUUCUACUGCAUAUAUAUGUAUGGAUAUAUGUGUAUUGUUAAAGAAGCAUGUUGGUAAUCAGUGUUUAUACUUUUAGCAUGCUUAUACUCUCCACUGACAUGAUAUACAUACAUAUAUAUAUAUAUAUAUAUAUAUAUAUGUGUGUGUGUGUGUGUGUGUGUGUGUGUGUGUGGAACGAAGCAUAUGUUAGAGUACUUAGUACUGAUUACUCAUAUUGCAUAUAUGUAUAGUAAUGUCAAAGCUUUUAUAUAACUAUUAAGUGUUUUGAGUAUGACAUUUCUAUUUUAAACCAUUGUAACAAAUUUACGUCGUUGGUGACGAUUCUUUGAUACAAUUAUUAGUUUAUAUAUAUUAGAGAGUGAUGGGUGGAUCUAUGCAUCAUGAAAUUGAACACUUAACUUUUCCUGGAGGUUGGGUUAUGGGUGGAUCUACCUUACUCAACUCUUCAGCCAAUUUCUUUUAAAUUACCAUUGUCUUAUAUCAGUGUUGUUAUUUGAAUUGUAAGUUGUACUAAAAUAAUGUCUAUACUAGGCAUGUUUAAUUAGUCACUUCAUUGCUUAGUAAUAUCCAUUAUUGGUGUGUGUUAUUGUUCGUUCAUGCUUCUAUCUAUAAAUUGGAUUGAGUUCGGAUGUUCCUAGAAUCCUACCUGUUUAAAAAGCUAUUAAUUAAUUUAUACCCAUUUUGUUUCAGAAGCAAUGGAUGCUAGAGAUUCAGAUUCAGUAAACCUUAGUGAUGAGGAGUCCAUGGAGAUUAUAAUGGGAACAAAACGAGAUUUUGGAAGCGAAAGUAUAGACAAUACAAAUACGAGUCUUGCAAAGAAAAAGGCUAGAGCAAUCAAUUUAGGUAAGUGAAAAUAUACUUUAAAGAAAAAUGUGUUUUUAUGUUUUGGAUGUGACAAUAUGGUAUGUAUAUACUUAUUUAGUAUUAUGUUUUUCAUUUGAUUAUUUAUUGGUUUAAAAUAUUUUCCUUAACAGGUAAUAGGUCUGGUCAUAUUACAUGUUAAUAUUAUCGGAUCAAUUUCAGGUCGGGUCAUUUUACCCGUUUAUUUUAACGGGUGUUACACGACACGACCCGUUAAGAUAUCGAGUAUGACACGAAAAUGACAUGAACAAUGAAAACACAACAUGAAUGUCAGGUCUAAUGCCAGCGAUCGGCCAUUUCUGAAGGCAAUCACGUCAAUCUCCACCACCAAAACACUUCUCUUGAGGUCUGGAACAAAGCCCAAGCCGUGGUAGAAGAGUCAAAGCUCACAUGGAAAUCGAAUCAAAGCACACCCAAAACUAGGGUUCUGACCGUUCAUGGGAAAAUUUUGACGUUUCUCGGCCGAAUUGGACUUGGCCACAUGUAUAAAACUUGAUCUACUCGUUGAGAUCUUCAUUCCUGUAAAAUUUGAGAAUUUUUUGAAAUAGUUGAAUUUUCUGAUGAGCCUAGGCGGUGCGUGGGCUGCGACCCUACCUGCCCUUCCUAGACUAAUUUGGAUACCCUAAUUCCAUAUGUGACGUUCGAUUGACGAAAUCUCAUUGUAAGACUAUAGUUUUGAUAGAGA
This 2460-nucleotide long non-coding RNA is filed under the name Malus domestica (apple). Its description in RNAcentral is "long non-coding RNA (MDOM_LNC011106)". Lineage: Eukaryota; Viridiplantae; Streptophyta; Magnoliopsida; Rosales; Rosaceae. The record is from RNAcentral.